CGAAACAUAGCUUAAUUAAAGCCCCUUGCUUACACCAAGAAAACAUUUGUGAAACUCAAAUUGCUUCGA
RNAcentral lists this transfer RNA (69 nucleotides) under Cryptobatrachus sp. TNHC-GDC 451. RNAcentral's name for it is "tRNA-Val". Lineage: Eukaryota; Metazoa; Chordata; Amphibia; Anura; Hemiphractidae. The record is from RNAcentral.